AUGGCGACGACGACGCCUAAGGCGAUGAGGAGGGCGUCGAUCCGAGGGCGGGCGUGGCGCCUGCUGCGGCUGGCGGCGCUCCGGGCGCGGAAGGGAAUCGUCGUGCACGGCCUCGGCCUGCUCAAGACCCUGGGGUGCAGCAGGCGCGGCGACCGGCUGCGCUACGGUGAGCGCGAGUUCUCCAUCGACGAGACUCCAGCGUUCCGGUUCCGCGCCCCCUCCGCGCGCGUGCUCCGCUUCAUUCCCUGCAUCGCCCCCGCCGUCCCGGACACCCCCGACGACUACAGUGGUGACCGCUACUUCUUCUGUGACCCGCGCGAGAGGGACGCGGGCAGCGUCGGGGAAGGCCACGGUGCCGGGCCGAGCGAGUACGGCGUCGAGAACCUCGACGAUUGCGCGGAGGAGCAGCUGCUCCAGCGGGCGGUGAUGGGAGCGAGCUGCGCGAACUUCGGCGCCGCGGAACAAGAGGACGGCGAGGACGCCGGGGUGGACGUGAAGGCGGAGGAGUUCAUCGCCAACUUCUACUCGCAGAUGAGGAUGCAGCGGCAGAUCUCCUGGCUGCAGUACAACGAGAUGAUGCAUAGGAGCAUCUGCUAG
RNAcentral lists this ribosomal RNA (597 nucleotides) under Triticum aestivum (bread wheat). Its description in RNAcentral is "partial small subunit ribosomal RNA". Lineage: Eukaryota; Viridiplantae; Streptophyta; Magnoliopsida; Poales; Poaceae. The record is from RNAcentral.